CGUACACUCCUGCGGGAGGCAGCAGUGGGGAAUAUUGCACAAUGGGCGCAAGCCUGAUGCAGCGACGCCGCGUGGGGGAUGAAGGCCUUCGGGUUGUAAACUCCUUUCGCUAGGGACGAAGCUUUUUUGUGACGGUACCUAGAUAAGAAGCACCGGCUAACUACGUGCCAGCAGCCGCGGUAAUACGUAGGGUGCGAGCGUUGUCCGGAAUUACUGGGCGUAAAGGGCUCGUAGGUGGUUUGUCGCGUCGUCUGUGAAAUUCUGGGGCUUAACUCCGGGCGUGCAGGCGAUACGGGCAUAACUUGAGUGCUGUAGGGGUAACUGGAAUUCCUGGUGUAGCGGUGAAAUGCGCAGAUAUCAGGAGGAACACCGAUGGCGAAGGCAGGUUACUGGGCAGUUACUGACGCUGAGGAGCGAAAGCAUGGGUAGCGAACAGGAUUAGAAACCCGGGUAGUCCCAUGA
Molecule: ribosomal RNA, 462 nt
Filed under: uncultured organism
Description: partial 16S ribosomal RNA
Rfam family: Bacterial small subunit ribosomal RNA
Source: RNAcentral